Lucilia sericata (common green bottle fly) is the source of this 5873-nucleotide long non-coding RNA. RefSeq lists it as uncharacterized. NCBI's taxonomy places the organism in Eukaryota, Metazoa, Arthropoda, Insecta, Diptera, Calliphoridae. The record is from RefSeq and is a predicted model, not a curated record. The transcript is spliced from 13 exons.
CACGAAUUACGUUUUUAUUGGAAAUUUCCAAUAAAACAGCUGUCAAAAACAUACAAAUUAAAAGAAGAAAACAAAAAUUGCGGAACAAAUUUAUAAACGAAGAAUAAAUAAACAAAAAAUAUAGAAAUUAAAUGAAAAUUGUUCGAAAAGCUGAAAAUCAGCAAAAUGUGUGUGGAAGAAACAAGUUAUGUUGUUGUAGUAAAAAAGAGCGAAUAAUAUGGGAACAAAUUAUGUAUGUGUGAUUGUAUAGCCGUAGGUUUUAUGAUGUUAACGCGAUCAACCAAAAAAUCUGUUCCGGAACAUUUUAUAUAAAGAACCCACAUGAGGUAUGUAUUUAUUGAACCGGCGGCAGCUGUCUUCUACGUUAUGGCCAAUUUUUCAGUUCUAAAAAAAAUUUAAUAAAUUGUUGUAUAUUUACAUUGUGUAUAUAAUGUGAUAAACUAACAAAAUUCUGUUCCCGAACACUUUUUAUAACAAAAUCCAUAUGAGGUAUUUACCCUUCCGGCGGCUGCUGACUACAACGUGUAAAUCAUAAAAAUUACGCCGCCGGAGUAGAAUUUUUCAUUUACAACAAAGAUUCUUUCAUUCGGUAUAUAAUUUUUCCAUAAAUUUGUAUGUUUAUUUUGUUACGAACCGGUUGUAAGGCGAGUUUUCCCACUAACUGGCAUGACUGACCUCAGGAGGUUCCAACCCUUUCUCACCAAACUCGUAUUCUACACGAAACAAAAAGAGAUAGAUGUUGUCCUCUGUAUCUGCCCUCCCAACCUUGUCGCUGACGGAUCCAAUGAAUUCUCUUUUUAGCGACCCGAAACCCACCUGACCCUUUUAACCACUUACCGGUCUAUCAUCGCCAUUACCUUUACUUAAUUAGACCAACAUUGGCUUAAGUUUCUACUUCCUUAAUUCGGAUUCUGACGUUUCUAUAGUCUACAACUAAAGGAGCUCCCUGAGUUAUAUGUUAUAUACCUUGACACUUUUAAAAGGCUUCUCUUUACGCGCUCUUCUUAAGCUGUGUUUCACGUGAUUCAAACAAAAAGACACAAAACUACCGGACACUAUCACGGUUUACAAAAUUAUUUUUUUCACGAUUUCACAACUACCUUAAUUUAUCUUAAAUCUAUUUAAUUUCUUUUUCUCUUAUUUUAAAAAUUAUUUCCGGACUCUUUCUACUUUUAAUAGUUGGUUCUAAAUCUCUUGUUUGUUUGUAACUGGCCUUCUAUAUGACAAGUUUAAAAUUUCUUUCAUUAAUAACCCAGCAAAAAAAGUGUGGAAAAAGAUGUGGAAUUUUCAUCACAACUAGUAACCCGAAGUGCUUCAAAUUCAGGUGAAAAACCUAUGAAUUUUACAUUAGCGUGUCAUUGGAGGGAUGUUGUUCAUUUUUGACAACUUUGAACUACAUCUAAUCUUAUCUUUAGAAGCUGUAAAAAUCCGAUAUUUGUACGUCAAAAAUAAACCACAUUCUUUCAAUGAAACGCUUAUGUAAAUUUCAUCAAAAUUUGAAGUACUUCGAAUAUUUUGUUUGUAGUGACUUUUCUACAUCUCUUUUCUCAUUUUUAACUGUGUUUUAAUUUAUAAGUAUAUGUUUGGUUUAUAAAAGCGAAAAGUAUGCAAUCGCAUUUUUAGAUGUGAUUAAGUUGUCGUUUGUAAAGUAUGACAUCAAUUAUUUUUUGCUGGGUAAUAUAAUAAUACUUAAGGAAGAUUUUGUAUGACUUUUAUGUUGGUUAAAUUAAGUGAGCUAUAUAAUUGUUAUUAUUCCAUACACUAAAUACGUUUUUUAAUAAAUAUUUAAAUAUAAAAAUGUAAAAUUUGUCACCAAUUCCUUUUUCUUUAGUGAUUAAAAUGUUUCCUUUUUAUUUGGAUCAUUUUUAACAACUUUUUUCUUAGCUUUCUUAGCUAUUACUGCACUAUUCCGCAAAUUAUUUAAAAGGAAUAAAUAAAAAUUGUUACCUGGCUAAUUACUUGGAUGGCAGACUUUCCAGUAUUGCGGUCCUUCUUUCUUGUAAAUUAGCCAGCUAUAAAGGAUUAACAAAAUCAUUUUUACUCCUACACACUAUGCUAUAUUUCUAUAAAAACUUACGUUUUUAUUAUUGUUGUUCAAAUAAGUUUAUAAUUAUUUGAUCCUCUAGGAUUAUUUUAAGGACAUUAAAUUUAUCGAUUUAUUGUUCACUAAAUCUCAGACUACAGUCCUUUUCUUUUUCCUUAUCUUCAAAAAAAUUUUCUUCCUUUUUUUUAUUUAUUAAAUUUACUUUUUCUUAAAACACUUUUGCACACUCACUUAACUUUUCUUUCACCAACUGUGUUAUUUUCAUUUCUAUCGUGAGCUUAAAUACCCUAUUUUUGUCUUCCCCUACAUUUAUGUAAAUAUAAUUUCCCGCAAAUUUCAUUCUCCUAAAAUUCUGCUACAUAAGGUAUUUAUUUACAUAUUUCCCCCACUCAUCAUGUCGUAGCCUUUUUCUGUCCGCCGAUCAUGUAAACCGCGCUAUUUGUUUUUAUUACAUUAUAUAAUUUACCGCGGCAUAAUUUUACUAUAUAUAAUUAAUUUAUUUCUUUUCUAUUUAUUUUUAUAUUUGGCGGAUUUUUCCUACUUGGCAGACUUUUCUUACUUAUUUGCACGGCCAAAUAAGUAAUUCAAGCUUAAACUCCCCCAAUCAAGGCGCUUUCCCUAUUUUCUAUGCAUUCCUACCGCCUUAUGUACUAGGAGCUCAUAAUUUUUAGCAGUAGUAUUUUCAUUCAAUUAUUUUUAAUUUUUUUACUACAAAAAAAUACACAUUCCCAUGUCUGCAUGAAUGAAAUACACCCCUACACUUUUACGAUAUACGUUGCGUUGCCAAUACUUUUACUACUUUUGACAUUUGAGCAACCCUGUUUUCAUUAAUUCUGACAACAGCUGGACGGACAAGCACAUGGAGGUAAGUAUUUCGGUAAAUUUUUUUAUUUUUAAUUUGUAUUUUUCUUUCGUUUUCAGCAUAAAAAUAAAAGAAGAACUACUGGAUAUAAUAAGAGCAACAAAAUACGAGAACUAAACAAAGAUACAAACGAAAAUCAAAAAUUACAACAUAAAAACAAAACUAAUAAACUAACAUACUAACAAAAAAAAACCAGAAAAACCAAAACAAAAUUAACCAAAAUACUAACAUGAAAACAAAUUAACCACUGGGACUCGGGCAGGAGGUAGUGCCUCCAUUGGCCGUAAGCCCCUCCCCACUAAAUAGUCAGAUAAUACACCGGGGCUCGGGCAGGAGGUGGUGUCUCCAUUGGCCGUAAGCCCCUCUCCAUUGAUUUCAAAACAGGGAGUAGAGGCAAUUUUGAUUUUCUGGCCUCCUCCCGACCGUUUCCCUAAGGUCCACCCACGCAAAAAUUUUUUUUUUUGGGUGGCCAGAUGAUAAAACCGUCGGUGCGGUGAGGUAUACCGCAAUAAAACUCCGGGGUCGCUGUUGACUAGCAGAGGGAUCGGUGUGCGGUAACAUACCGAACAAGCCCAACGCGGGGAACGCCCAUGACCCUGAAGAAGAGUCUAGUCUGAAGAGAUAACCGGGCAAUUAAUAUGGAAACUUCGCGACAUUGUCUGAUUGUGUUCGAUGAUGCUGAAAUAUUGAAAUUGAGGUUACUGUAACGAUAUUAGGCAAGAGUACUCUUACAAAUUUUUUUCUUGUUUAAAGAAAGAAAAUUGUAGAGACAAACCCAUUGGAAUUCAAAUAAGUAAUAUUUCUUAUUACUGGUGCUUUGCCAGUAGUGCACAACGUGGUGCUAAAUUUAAACGAACGCCUACAAAAAGGAUCUUUGAGGCAGGUAAAUCUAAGCUUAUAAGGGCUGCGUCAAUUUAAACUUCGGGUUACGCCUCUACUCUUUUUCUUUAUAUAAGAUGAAGUUGCCUAGUAUUCGUCACACAUCUCUUCAAACCUUUAGAGAAGAAAAGAUUGAGAGAUGAUUUAACUCUCAACACAUUUCAAUCAUCAUUUCACAGGAAGUAUAAUCUGUGUAACAAAUCGUGUAAAUAAGAAUUUUUACUUUGUGAUUUUUUUUCCAGAUUUAACAAAAAUUUCUUGGACUGGCACAACAUAGAAGAAUAUUGCACAUGCCCUAAAUCUAAACUAAAUGUUGGAAAAAAUCAACAAAAUAAUUUCUCUAAUUUACACUAAAUUGUAUCACAGGUUGGAUUGUUGUAUUGUGGUUUCCUUACUCUAUAUUGCACUAUUUCUGCUGUUGUUAUUAAGGAGUAUAUGGGUAUUAUUGGAAUAUCUAACUCAUUGACUAGUUCUCGACAUACUUUUCCUAAAAUGCUAACUGAAGUACCAGUAUCCAGAAGGCCUUGCAAAUUGACAUUACCAAUCGAAAACUCAGCAUAUGGUCUGGGGUCAGAAGAUUUCUCAUCAGCAGUUUUAAUUGCUUCUAUGAUAUUGUUGGACGACGGAUGGAGAUUUCGGAGUCAAAGAUUCUAUUUCGGACGGAUUCAUAGUUUUUUUGACGUUCUUCGAGAGUGUAGAAAUGUCUUUGCUGGGAUGUCCCUGCGGGUUGUGGGUUGAACGAUGGUCCCAGCUCUCCCUUCGUUCCUGGAAAAAUUUCGAUUGCGGCAAUUGGCACAAUUAGGGGCUAUGACAUUAGAUUUUCCACAACUAUAGCAGAAAAUUGAUCUUUCUUCUGCUGGGAAAUCCAUGAACAUGUGUCCAUUUUGGCGACAGUUCCAGCAUAGUAAUGUUUGCCUUGGAGUGGAAUUGCUGGCAUUAACGAGUCUAACUGCCGCUACUUCAUCAAAAGUUUCUUCACGAAAAGGUUGAGUUUCUUGAUCCUCAUAUAGCUCACUAAUUUGGUACCUGUUCGCUACUGCUGGCUGUUGACGAAAGUCUCUUUUAAGGAAAGUUUUUUCGGCAUCUAGACAACUCAUCCUUAACUCUUCCACCGAAGAAACUGUCAUCGGCCUCGGUCAUAGAGAUGCUAAGACGAGAUCUAAAUUGAGUCAUGGCAAAAAAGAACGCAUCGAUCGAUUCUCUUGACAAUUGUCUUCUUUCAACCAUAUCUCUCAUCAGUUCAAAGCUAGACCUGAUUGCUUGGUACUGCUUUAGCAAGGCCGAUUUUAAUGUUGACCAUUCUGUGACGUAAUUGGAUACACCAUAUUGGCUUUGCAGUCGUUCUAAACCGAACACGAAGUCUUCGACAGCUAAUUUGUUGUUGUCCCCAUCUAAUUCUAAUCCCAUUUAUCGAUCUGUUAUAGCUUCUUGUCUCCUCACUGGCUAUGGAUGUGGCUCUUGAUGACGGAGCUGAGGGAAGUUGAAUUUCUGAGGCGUCGACUUGCAUGUUUCCAUCACUGGAAUUUCUGGAUACGCUUGCUUCUUCUAGUUUGCGGUUUUCCUGCUGAGUUUGUUGUACCACUAUGCUUAAUCUGCUGACUGUUGAUGUCAAUUCGGCCAUGGUCUUCUUAAUCUCGGAUAACUGUUUUGGCAAUGAUAAAUGGAUGGGUGUGUUAAGGCGGUUGCUAUUUUGAAUAUUCUUAAUGUGGUUGGCUAAUUUAAAGUGGUUUCAAAUCAUAUUUUCCUGUAUGAUCAAUCGGCUACAUCAUUAUAUUAUCAUCUGAUGUGACAACGACUGUUACGGAUAUUAUCUGAUACAACUAACCUCGUAUACUUAGUUGUAACGAGAGGCUAUCAGACAAUAUACCGUUUCUAUACAUUUUAAUAAUUUGAAAAAAAGAAAACAAAACCUUAAGGUAAUUCGGAAAUAUUUCGCCACACAAUUAAAGAUAACUCGUAUUUACUUUAAGCUGCAGCGAUUUAUCCCGGCGGCUAUAUGAUAAACAUUUCAACGUUUCUCGAGAUCUUUUGGGCUAUUUACUACACUAUCUGUGCUAUUUUUACAUGUGUCGAUGUUCAUACAUGUUU